Molecule: transfer RNA, 58 nt
Filed under: Pelomedusa neumanni
Lineage: Eukaryota; Metazoa; Chordata; Testudines; Pelomedusidae
Description: transfer RNA-Ser
Source: RNAcentral
AGGAAGAAAGUAAGAAACCGCUAAUUUCUCAACCCUGAAGCUAACACUUCGGCUUCCC